Molecule: non-coding RNA, 26 nt
Filed under: Homo sapiens (human)
Lineage: Eukaryota; Metazoa; Chordata; Mammalia; Primates; Hominidae
Source: RNAcentral
UGAGCUAGACUCGUGGUGACCAAAGC